GUGCCAGCAGCCGCGGUAAGACGGAGGGUGCUAGCGUUGUUCGGAAUUACUGGGCGUAAAGGGCGCGUAGGCGGCCUGUUAAGUCGGUUGUGAAAGCCCGGGGCUCAACCCCGGAACGGCAGCCGAGACUGGCGGGCUCGAGACCGGGAGAGGUGGGUGGAAUACCCAGUGUAGAGGUGAAAUUCGUAGAUAUUGGGUGGAACACCGGUGGCGAAAGCGGCUCACUGGCCCGGUUCUGACGCUGAGGCGCGAAAGCGUGGGGAGCAAACAGGAUUAGAUACCCCCGUAGUCC
This 292-nucleotide ribosomal RNA is filed under the name uncultured bacterium. RNAcentral's name for it is "partial 16S ribosomal RNA". It matches the Rfam family "Bacterial small subunit ribosomal RNA", at positions 505 to 796 of the family's 1533-position model. The record is from RNAcentral.